CCUGUGGAGUGUUAGAUCAAACUGUAGUAGCGAGUGGUUGGCAAGGCAGGACACGUAGAAGCAGGAA
Molecule: non-coding RNA, 67 nt
Filed under: Bacillus anthracis str. 'Ames Ancestor'
Lineage: Bacteria; Bacillati; Bacillota; Bacilli; Caryophanales; Bacillaceae
Description: RAGATH-18 RNA
Rfam family: RAGATH-18 RNA
About the family: Actinobacteria, Firmicutes, Fusobacteria, Thermotogae (1 example). Nearby to self-cleaving ribozyme genes
Source: Rfam by way of RNAcentral